RNAcentral lists this transfer RNA (71 nucleotides) under Exoglossum maxillingua (cutlips minnow). RNAcentral describes it as "tRNA-Trp". It matches the Rfam family "tRNA". From Rfam's summary of the family: Transfer RNA (tRNA) molecules are approximately 80 nucleotides in length. Their secondary structure includes four short double-helical elements and three loops (D, anti-codon, and T loops). Further hydrogen bonds mediate the characteristic L-shaped molecular structure. tRNAs have two regions of fundamental functional importance: the anti-codon, which is responsible for specific mRNA codon recognition, and the 3' end, to which the tRNAs corresponding amino acid is attached (by aminoacyl-tRNA synthetases). tRNAs cope with the degeneracy of the genetic code in two manners: having more than one tRNA (with a specific anti-codon) for a particular amino acid; and 'wobble' base-pairing, i.e. permitting non-standard base-pairing at the 3rd anti-codon position. The record is from RNAcentral. Lineage: Eukaryota; Metazoa; Chordata; Actinopteri; Cypriniformes; Leuciscidae.
AGGGACUUAGGAUAGUACAAGACCAAAAGCCUUCAAAGCUUUAAGCAGAAGUGAAAAUCUUCUAGCCCCUG